GACGAACGCUGGCGGCGUGCUUAACACAUGCAAGUCGAACGAAGUGGCGAACGGGUGAGUAACGCGUAAACAACCUGCCCUUCAGAGGGGGACAACAGUUGGAAACGACUGCUAUUACAGCAUACUGAAGGAGGGGUUUGAGUGUGAUUGGCUCGUUGGGGGGGUAACGGCCCACCAAGGCGAUGAUCAGUAGCCGGUCUGAGGGGAUGGACGGCCACAUGGGGACUGAGACACGGCCCAGACUCCUACGGGAGGCAGCAGGGGGGAAUCUUCCGCAAUGGACGAAAGUCUGACGGCGCAACGCCGCGGGAGUGAUGACGGCCUUCGGGUUGUAAAGCUCUGUUAAUCGGGACGCGGUACCGGAAUAGAAAGCCACGGCUAACUACGUGCCAGCAGCCGCGGUAAUUC
RNAcentral lists this ribosomal RNA (408 nucleotides) under uncultured bacterium. Its description in RNAcentral is "partial 16S ribosomal RNA". It matches the Rfam family "Bacterial small subunit ribosomal RNA", at positions 28 to 526 of the family's 1533-position model. The record is from RNAcentral.